AGUUCCCAGGGCCCGCCAGCCCCGAGGGGUGCCCUCGGCCGCAAAAUGCCGCGGGGCCUCAGCGUGUGGAGCUGCUCGGGAGGUCGAACCCGAAGGUACCUAGUGUGGCGCCAUGGCGCCAUCGAGGACGUCGGGAGAAACUGAGGCGCAGGGAGAAGGUUGGGCUUCCUGGAGUACAGAGCGAGGCGCCACUAACUGAGCGCCUACUGCGUGUUGCGCGCUUUGGUGCCCUGGGUUCAUUGACUUAAUGCUCACGAAGACCCGAGAACUCUAAGCCAGAACCUAAGGGGGCCAGAAGCUGGGAUCCAAGUCUACUUGUCCCACCCCCUCCACUGGAACUCCCUGGCCCCCAGCUCUGCACAGCUCCUGCCCUGCAGCCCUCGCCUGGCUGUGCUCCGGGAAGUCCUCGUGGGCACUUCACCCUGCUCUGCAGCCACACUCACACCCUAGAUCCAGGUCACACUAGAGGCAAAGACCCCACUGGCUCGGACUUCACCAACCUGGAGCAGGGGAGAGAAGCUAAGUUCUGACCUUUGAUCAGAAGAUGGGGAAGCCACACUCAACACGUCACUGCCUUGGGAGGUGGAUUUGGGGAUGGUGGGUCCUGGGGAAAAACGGGCUUUUGGUGUGGAAAUGACAUCUUUCCUGUUUCCGACCUCUGCCUGCCUCAUGCCAGGUGAGACACCUUCAUGCCUGUUUCCAUGAUUGAGAACAUGGGAGUACGCUUCUUUCCACCUACGUUCCUGGUGGAUUUUCACUGGAGUUGGGCUGCACUGUGGAAAAGGGGUUGGGCAGCUCCUGUGGCACAGUGAGGGGGCAUAGAAGCCCAAGGCAGUCGGUAAGAAAUCACCAAUUUAUUGAAUGAAAAA
RNA transcript from Homo sapiens (human), 869 nucleotides. RefSeq lists it as uncharacterized. NCBI's taxonomy places the organism in Eukaryota, Metazoa, Chordata, Mammalia, Primates, Hominidae. The record is from RefSeq and is a predicted model, not a curated record. The transcript has 3 exons.